RNAcentral lists this long non-coding RNA (739 nucleotides) under Citrus maxima (pomelo). Its description in RNAcentral is "long non-coding RNA (CMAX_LNC001481)". Lineage: Eukaryota; Viridiplantae; Streptophyta; Magnoliopsida; Sapindales; Rutaceae. The record is from RNAcentral.
CUGAUCACCAAGAAUCCCAAGCAAAGUUUCCCUCUCAUUUUCCAUCAAAUCAUGUGAAGUGCCAAAUUGAAGAGCAGCUCUUGCAACGCAAGAAUUGUCACUUUGAUUCUCCGCUCCAUACUUGCAACAAUCUUCAGCCAACUUUCUCGCUACAAUAUUUGAAUACAAAAAUAUUGUGCACAAGAACUAGUCAAGAAAAAAAAAAUCAAAUAUUAUAACGAAUGCAAGAGCAAACAAACAACCUAUUUCCAUUUGUUUCAAGCUUACUGCAACAAGCCCUUCAAUGCCACGAACAAUAUUCCUCUGAAAAUGCUGCGCUACAGAGCAUAUAUUCCAAAUUAUUGUUCAGAUAAAACCAUAGAAACCAUCAUAAUUAUUCAACAUACAUUAAGCUCCGUUUGGUAAAUACUUGCAACUUCAGUCUAGAGAAUACAGUUCUAUAUAUGUAGCAGUCUAAAGGAGGAUGGUGCCUUAGCUGCCCUGGUGGAAUUGUAUAGAUUUUGAAGUUGUUGGUGACACUCAAUUUCAGCUUCAUCAACUGCCUGUACAAAUCAUAAAAAACUAAUGAAAAAAAUAAAUAAAAUCGAGAAAUUUCACUAAUUAAAAGUCUAAAUAUAAUUUUAAAAAAGAAAGAAACGCACUUGGUGCUGCUUGGCGACUUGUUCUCGGAGCUUGAUUGCCUGUUUCUUGAUAGCUUCCAUACUGUUUCUUUCAAAAAGCGGCGACGGCUCAGCUCAUG